RNAcentral lists this long non-coding RNA (230 nucleotides) under Lathyrus oleraceus (garden pea). Its description in RNAcentral is "Pisum sativum (pea) long non-coding RNA (PSAT_LNC017440)". Lineage: Eukaryota; Viridiplantae; Streptophyta; Magnoliopsida; Fabales; Fabaceae. The record is from RNAcentral.
GGACUUUUGUUGUCCAUAAUGAUACCAUAUGCAUAACUGUUACGUUGUGUCAUAAGUCGUAUUUCAUAUCUAUGCGCAUAUUGUUAUGAUUGGGUGUGAGAUUAUGGUGAUGUUGAUUGUGUGUUGAAUGUGUGUUAUGUUGUAUAUUUCACUACAUUAAAUUUUUUUACAUUGUUCAUAUUGAACGUUGUUUCUUCCCAUUUGCCUCAUGUUGUCCAUCAUGGACAUCU